RNAcentral lists this ribosomal RNA (876 nucleotides) under Triticum aestivum (bread wheat). RNAcentral describes it as "partial small subunit ribosomal RNA". The record is from RNAcentral. Lineage: Eukaryota; Viridiplantae; Streptophyta; Magnoliopsida; Poales; Poaceae.
AUGGAGACUUUUAGCUUUGAGUUCAUCCUGAAGAUGAUGCUAAAAAUCCUUCACAUGACAAAUGAUUUGUCUCUUCUAUUGCAAAAGAAGGAUCAAAAUGUUGUUCAGGCAAUGUCAUUGGUUACGGAUGUGAGAACACGUUUGAUCAAUUGGAGAAAUGAUGGUUGGGAGCCACUCUUGGAAGAUGUCAAAGCCUUUUGCACCAAAAAUGACAUUCCAAUACCAAAUAUGGAUGACAUCUUUACAAAGUGGGGAAAAUCAAGAAAAGGUGGACGAAACAAUGUAACGGCUGAUCAUUUUUUCCGUGUGGACACCUUCUAUGUUGUCAUAGACUCCAUCACCACAGAGUUUGAUCAUCGUUUUAAUGAGGUAUCUUCAGAGCUGCUCCAGAACUUCUCUUGUCUUGACCUAAGACACUCCUUUUCUAGGUUCAAUGUGAAUAAGCUUGCUAGACUCACAGAGAUUUAUCAUGAGGAUUUCUCAGAUUAUGAUCGUGAACAUAUAGUUGAUAACCUAGAGCUAUUCAUUAUCCAUAUGAGAAGAAUUGAAGACUUUAGAGCUUGUCAUGAUAUUGCAAGUCUAGCUAAAAAGAUGGUUGAACUUGAAAGGCAUGUCAUGUUUCUUGCUGUUUAUCGCCUCCUUGAGUUGGCAUUGCUACUACCAGUAGCGACGGCAACAGUUGAAAGAGCCUUCUCAUCAAUGAAAAUCAUCAAGACUGAGUUGUGCAACAAGAUGGCUGAUGGUUGGCUUAAUGACUUGAUGGUGUGUUACAUUGAGCGAGAGAUCUUCAAAAGUAUUGAUCUCGGUAAAAUUAAGGAAGAUUUUCAGAAGGAGGGUAGGGCACUGCCAUUGCCUGGGUCUUCUACACGCCAUUAA